Molecule: long non-coding RNA, 3735 nt
Organism: Marmota monax (woodchuck)
Lineage: Eukaryota; Metazoa; Chordata; Mammalia; Rodentia; Sciuridae
Exons: 2
Source: RefSeq, a predicted model, not a curated record
UCUCGCACCUGCCCCGGGGACAAGGGAAAGUCACAUGUGACAAGGUCAUGAAGAACUAUGUAGGGCUGUGAGUUCGCGCUGCAGGUGGCACCUGUGCCUGGUUCCUCUCCAGGGUUUAGGGGAAGCAAACUUGGGCUUAGGAAAUUCAUGAACUUAGGUGCAUUCAAGGGCCUGAGCCUGGAAUCAGACGAUCUGAAGCACAGCCUGUCUCCUUACCGUCUCUGAAUACCUGCGACUAACCUGAGGACAAAUUCCUAAGCAAUUCCAGCUGCCAAAUGGAAAUGCUUAGCCUAGCCCAGGAGCACCUGGGAGCGACCUGGAGGAGGACUAGUCCCACUGCCUCAUCCUGGCUGUGAGAUUCCUGUGCCCGUGUCCUGCAUCAAUCCCACCAUCAAUCUCUGGCUUCUGGUUCUGCCGUCAAUCUUCUGUGGCCCAAACGUUGUGCCUGCACAGUGUGGGGCUUGGGUGCACACUGGAGCUUUCCCAGGACCCUCUAAGGAGCACGGUGACAUCCCUUUAGUAGGCUCCCCACAUCCUCCAGAUUCACGGAUUCUCAAGUCCGCAGAACUGGGCUAGAGUGGAUGUUAGGCCUUGAGGCAGCUCCUGGUGGCUUCUGACCUGGACUCACCUGCCGAGGGGUCACAAUGCUCGUGGUCCCUCCCCCUCUGUGGGGAACGUGCUGCCCAGCAGUUUUAGACAGGGUCUGAAAUGUGGCCGAGACAGCGGCCUGGCCCUUGCUCUCUCCGAUUCCUCUCUUCCUGCUUCCAGCCAGGUGGCCCAUCCUGGCUCAGGGAAGGCCCCAGCUGCCCCCAGCGCCUCAGCCUUUGCUGCUGCUUCCGUAGGACUGCUCCCACAUCCUGCAGGCCCUGGCCCCGGUGUCGCUCUCUCUGGAAAGGCUGCUGAGCACCUGGAGUGUCGCACCACCACGACUGCCCCACGGCUCCAUUUGCUUUCUUCUUAGACGUUGCUAUGAUUCUCACUUCCUAUUUACUGUCCUCUUCCCCAACCCCAUAUACAUCUUUACUCAUUGCUCUGUCCCCUGGCACCCAGUAGGGCUGCCACAGCACCUGUCAUUGAGAAGAGAGACCUCAGGUGAGGUUAACUCAAAACACCCAGAUGUCGAGUCCAGUCUGACCAUUAGUAAUGUCAGUAGAAAGUUGGCAAAUAGCCUGGAGCUCGGGAGUGACCAGCUGGAGUGCAGCCCAACAGGCCCCGAGCCCUGAGCACAGCUUCAGAAUGGACACUGGGGCUCAGCGCAUGCUGCCUGGUGGCGGCCUCGCCCUUGUCCCAACUACACAUGCUCCUCAGUAUUCAGCAGAGCCACCGAGUGCGAGUGCUGCUUUUGCAAGAACAGCCUGCCCCGUGCUCCUCAGCUGUGGGAUGCUCCUAACUGCUUUGUUGUGAGUGACAGUGAGCAUGCAGGCCAGCAGUCACCCUGCCCGCUCCUUUGGGACAGGAGCAGGCAGCGUGACUGCUGGCCUGCAUGCUCAGAGCUGGCCUCAGAGCUGGCCUGGCCCCUCUGUUUCCAGCAUGGUUCAGCACAUGGUUCAUGAUUCAGCCCCCGCCAUAGCAGGGGGGCCCUCAAGGGAGAAGUUGGAUCCUGGACUUGACACAGUGUAAGGCUCAGGGUGGUGACCACCAUGUCCUUGACCUUGGCCACCACAGGGAGGAACAGUGACAGUGAGGAGGCAGAGCCCCACACGUGGUGGUAGUUGGGGUUUGGAGAGUGGUCUCAUAGUGGACCCUGUGGCAGGGGCAGGGUCUGUGGGCUCAGGAACCCCUCUGGAAACCAAGCGGAAGGGCGGGAAGACGGGAGGGCAUAGCCCGGGGCCACCCUGCCCAGACUUGCACUGCUCUCCUGCCUCGUGGCACUGCCAUGGCCAGCGUCAUUGUCACUGAGGAGCUGCGCCACUGUCCCUGAGACAGCACGGUGACGCCACAGGCGGCCAGUUCUCCCUGAGAGUCAGACGUGGGACCUGGAGUAGCUCCCUUGGCUUCUGUGAGCCCUGCUGGCCUGGUCACCCGAGUGCCAGCCAGGAGUCAGGAAGGCUGCAGAGCCCCACAGCGCCAGCCAGGAGCCAGGCCUGGUGACGGCAACGGUGGCUCUUGGCUAAGGCUCUGCCUGGCACCCAACAUUCUCCCAGAGACUCGGGGAGGCGGGGUCCACACGUCCAGCAUAUUGCAGGCUGUGUAGAGGGUUAAGUCAACCUGACGACGAAACGUAAAAAACCACAUGGGACUACCAACUGCUCUUCUCUUGCUCACAUCAGAAGUGACAACCUGUCUGGUGACCCCAAGGGGCAGCCAGGGAGGACCGGGAAGUGGCUGAGAGGUCUUCAGGUGCACGUGUAGCCCUUAACUCCGCGAUUAGUUCAAAGGUCAACACUAGAGAAGUCUCCAGAGGUUGUCAAAUGCUGCAGGCCUGUGAAUGCCAUUGUUUAGUGGGUCCUCCAAGGAUUAUCUGGUGACUUAAAUUUCACCCAGAUGUGGUAACUUGUGGAAUCUCAUCUGGCAGAAAAGAUGAUCACAUCCUGAAGAAAAUAAUCACCCCCCACAGACACAACAGGUUGCCACAUCUUGGAGCAACUUGAAGACACCCAGCCUGAGCCGAGUCCAGAGGGGAGGGAGGGGGCUCCUCCCGGCCGAGGACAGAGGCGAAGCUGGCAGGGCUUCAGUGGCCAGAGCCCCUCCCCCCACGUCCUCCACCCCCACGGCCACGCUUCCUCCGCCCACUGCCUGAGCCACGUGUAUGCUUUGAUCCUAGGUCCUAAGCCAUGUUUUGUUUUGUUUUUAAAGAGGCAGAACAAAGCAUAUUUUCGAAUAUGAAACAAGAAAAGUUGAGAGUAGGAUCUUCUCUGAUGGAAAUAUUUCCAGAUGCUCAAAGACCCGGGAUCACAACCAACUCCAUGACCCAGAAGUAAAAGGGUCGUCUAAAAGCCUAGGGGAAGUAGCAAGUUCCUGUCUUUAGUUUGUUGUUGCUAUGAUUUGUACUCUUAAGUAUGUCUCCAGCUAGUUCAGAGAGAAACAAACUGCUCGAUGAGGAGAUCCUGUGUGUGUGUGUGUGUGUGUGUGUGUCUUAGAGGAGUGAGCUCUGGCGUUUCCUCACUUCAGUAACAGGAGACAUUAACAGGGAGGUCUUGGAAGGGAGAAGAAGAAAGAGGGGUGGCUCAGAGAAGAUUUAAACUGGCACUGUCCCCAGGCAAGGAAUAUGUCUUUAGUUUUAUGUGGUUUAAUGAUUUAAACAAGUGUCUGGAACUUGUAUUUGCACAUCUGAUGGGAAGCCCAGAGGCUGGACAGAGAGUCCGUGUAAGCAUGGACCCUGCUCUGUCCACCUUCUUGGCCGGAUUCCUGCCUAUUUCCUCUGUGUCUGUGACAUGCCAGGUCCCUGUACUGAUGCCCCAUGCACAAGCCGAAGCCCCAGGAGGACAAUGGGCACAGAGGAACCCGGCUGGCACAGGGAGGCAGUGUGCUGCAGGUGGCUGCAGGUGGCUGCAGGUGGCUGCAGGUGGCUGCGGGGCUCUGCCAGCUCUCAGGUCCUUGUGAGGUUGGAAAUACUAUGCUGACUCAGUGCCGCCUCUAGAGGGUGCUCUGUGUUCAGUGCAGGUGGAAAGGGUCGGAUCCUAAUGUUUUCAUUUUAAUUCUGAGUUCAGAAGGGUAGAGGUGCAGGAGGCUGGAGGAAGGCAGGGAGAGAAUAAUCAUAGAUAAUUUAAUUAUUUAAAAACUUUUAAUAAUAAA